This 497-nucleotide ribosomal RNA is filed under the name uncultured bacterium. RNAcentral describes it as "partial 16S ribosomal RNA". It matches the Rfam family "Bacterial small subunit ribosomal RNA", at positions 28 to 507 of the family's 1533-position model. The record is from RNAcentral.
GAUGAACGCUGGCGGCGUGCCUAAUACAUGCAAGUCGAGCGAACAGACGAGGAGCUUGCUCCUCUGACGUUAGCAGCGGACGGGUGAGUAACACGUGGAUAACCUACCUAUAAGACUGGGAUAACUUCGGGAAACCGGAGCUAAUACCGGAUAAUAUAUUGAACCGCAUGGUUCAAUAGUGAAAGACGGUUUUGCUGUCACUUAUAGAUGGAUCCGCGCCGCAUUAGCUAGUUGGUAAGGUAACGGCUUACCAAGGCAACGAUGCGUAGCCGACCUGAGAGGGUGAUCGGCCACACUGGAACUGAGACACGGUCCAGACUCCUACGGGAGGCAGCAGUAGGGAAUCUUCCGCAAUGGGCGAAAGCUUGACGGAGCAACGCCGCGUGAGUGAUGAAGGUCUUCGGAUCGUAAAACUCUGUUAUUAGGGAAGAACAAAUGUGUAAGUAACUAUGCACGUCUUGACGGUACCUAAUCAGAAAGCCACGGCUAACUACGUG